AUGAGUAACGAUAAAGGCCAAUCUAUAGGUUGACCUCGCCUUAAGCUUAUGGUAUAGAUAAAAGUAACGGCCUCUAAGUUUAUUAACCUAAAGGACUAAACGAUGAGAAAACCUUGUUUAUAAAGUAAUAACCUUUAAAUUUUUAAACAUUCUGGGGUCGCACGCCCUCACUCUCUUUAGGAGUGAGUGAUCGCGCCCCAAUAGCUGAUGUAAAUAAUAAGUGAUGAAGAGUUCAGGAAAAACGAUAAACACUUAACCGUACCUAAAUACCAGCUCAGGUAAGCAAGUAGAGAAUACGAAGGCGUUUGAGAUAACAAUCAUAAAGGAACUCGGCAAAAUAGCUCCGUAACUUAGGGAUAAGGAGUACAGUUCAUUACGGGGGGCGCUUAUUUAGGCGCCCCAUUAAUAUUAAGUAGUGUUCAGGUAGCAUAAAAUCGAGUUGUACGACUGUUUAAUUAAAAGUGCGACCUGUAAGUUUUAAUAUGCAAUAUGGUGAAAUACCAUUAAGGACGUAGAUCAAUGCUUAUUUAAGUUUCUUAAGCCUAGGUAAAGGU
Molecule: non-coding RNA, 554 nt
Filed under: Tuber melanosporum Mel28
Lineage: Eukaryota; Fungi; Ascomycota; Pezizomycetes; Pezizales; Tuberaceae
Description: Bacterial large subunit ribosomal RNA
Rfam family: Bacterial large subunit ribosomal RNA
Source: Rfam by way of RNAcentral